This is a long non-coding RNA of Brassica rapa (field mustard), 2051 nucleotides long. RefSeq lists it as uncharacterized. The record is from RefSeq and is a predicted model, not a curated record. Lineage: Eukaryota; Viridiplantae; Streptophyta; Magnoliopsida; Brassicales; Brassicaceae.
UAGGAUUCCACUUAGGAAAGUCGCUUCACGAGGAGUCAACACGUGUCCCGCCUGCUCGAAACACAGCGUUUCAUUAAAGGAAUCAGCGAUCCAUAUGGGCUAAGUUUGUGUGUGGGCUUUUUUUUAAUUUGGCACAAGAAAAGCAGCCCGAUAGCAGUCAACCCUAAUAGCACAAUGUUCAUCUCCGUUCUUUGUUCUUCGUCAUCUGAUCUUCUUUUUCAUCGACCAAAAACGUUACCAGUUACAGAUUCGUCUCAUUAAACCUCUUCUUAACUCCAUCAACCACGAUCUGGUCUUGAAUGUGAACUUCUCUUCUCCGAGGCGGUGUCACUGCGAAUAUAAAAAGUUAAGCCUUCCUCUUAUCAAAACCAUCUUCUUGAUCUGUUGAACCAACAAAGUAAAGUUAUUUUCACAUAAAUGGCUAACUCGAAAGUUCUUAUUUCUCAUUUGAAAUCUGGUAAAUUUUCUUCUCCGGUUGAGGUUAGGUUGAUGCGUUGACUUCCUCUGCCUAGAAAAGGGAAACAUGAACGGUUAGUGGCUACACUCAGUCAAUUCGUCUGGACUUCUUCUUAAAUCGUUAUGGGCGUCAAUAUGCUUCUCCUUGAAGCCAAGGUUGCUCCGGCGAUUUAGAAAACAAACUCAAGUUUUUUCUGUAAGAUUUACAAGUAACGUGAUCUUAAUUAAUUUGUGAUCUUAGUCAUACGAUGUUUGCUUCUUCAUUUUGUUAAGCUCCUCGGUCUUUUUAAUCUGACAAUGGCUCGAACAAAUGCAGAUGAUGAUUUAAAGUCAAAGUCUUUACAAGCUGAGUUUGGCGAAAAGAGGAGCUUUGGUCGCGGUUUCUGUAUUACAGUCAAGAGAUUGCAACAUAUAAAAAAAUUACUAAUGCUCUGCUUCAUAGAAGGUAUGAAGCUACAUAUGGAGAAAUUCAAUGAUGGUAUUGUACUAAGAUAAAGGCUCCUUAGUAUAUUGAAACGAGAGUCUAUAGUGGGGACAUGUAAAGUUCCUAUGUUAUAAAUACCAUUUGAGUCAAAUAUCAUAUGUAAAUUUUUUCCUUGAGUCGAUUUUAGUUUUCAACAAUGUUUUUGUUUUAAAAAAUAGAUUAUUGUAUGAUAGUUUUAAGCAAUCUGCAGGAUAUUACUGAAGAAAACAAAUCUCCUCCAUGCCCAACAGAGUGGUUAUUCCGUGUUGAUAUUGUUAAUAAAUGGAAAGAGUCUAACGGUUUCAGUGCUACCCAGAUGUUUAGAGAAUAUCAAGAUGUCUGAUACGGCCUUACUGGUGAGAAGAGCAUUGUCUUUAAGCCAAUAUACUUUGUUUAUGGAUCUUCCAUAGAUUCUUUUGUGAAAAGGGGGAUUAGAAGUCUUUUGGUUCAAUGGAAAAUUAGCUCAGCAGUCCAGUGAGAAAGUGUUGAAGGAUGCAAUGAAACCAUCACAAAACAGUUCUGCUUAUGUCUAUGAAAGCUGGCGUCGAACUGAAUCUAACCGCUUCUUCACACGUCUUCUUAACGGUACAGUUUAUCUUUACGAUUACGUUUAAGUUCCAAAUACGUUCCAACUAAAAACUCUAACAAUGUGAUUUCACCAUUUAUUUAUAAUAUCCCAUAAAAUAAAAUAAUAAAAUCAAAAAGAACUAAAAAAUAUCCUAACAAACAAUGAUUUUAAACUCAUUUUCAAAUGGAAAUAAUGUUUCAUAAGCUCAAACCAACGAAAAGAUCUAAUCUCACAAAUAUUUUUUCUUUUGUGUUACCAAACUCAAAAACCAAAAAAAUAAUAUGAAAAUUAAUGGAAAAGCAAAAUGAGGAAUUAUACAUAAUCAAACAUAUAGUUAAAAAAGAGUAACACUAUCUAAUAAAUAAAAUAAAAUACAAAUAGCAUACAUAUUACUAUCUCCCAAAUAUCAACACACUUUUAAAUAAAGCAAAAUGGCAUCGUAACAUCGUCUCUUGCAUUUUUUAAUUAAAGAAAUUAAUUACAAAGUUUUGGCGAACCGCAAUACACAAGAAAUCUAAAAAUAACAUAUGAUAAUGGAUUACCUCAAAUAAAUAAAUUUAAAAA